RNAcentral lists this ribosomal RNA (491 nucleotides) under uncultured bacterium. Its description in RNAcentral is "bacterial SSU rRNA". It matches the Rfam family "Bacterial small subunit ribosomal RNA", at positions 28 to 517 of the family's 1533-position model. The record is from RNAcentral.
GAUUAACGCUAGCGGCAGGCCUAAUACAUGCAAGUCGAGGGGCAGCAGGGUGUAGCAAUACAUCGCUGGCGACCGGCGCACGGGUGCGUAACACGUAUGCAACCUACCUUUAACUGGGGAAUAGCCCUCCGAAAGGAGGAUUAACACCGCAUAACAUCACGAGACGGCAUCGCCUUGUGAUCAAACCUCCGGGGGUUAAAGAUGGGCAUGCGUCCGAUUAGCUAGUUGGCGGGGUAACGGCCCACCAAGGCGACGAUCGGUAGGGGGUCUGAGAGGAUGAUCCCCCACACUGGUACUGAGACACGGACCAGACUCCUACGGGAGGCAGCAGUAAGGAAUAUUGCUCAAUGGCCGAAAGGCUGAAGCAGCAACGCCGCGUGGAGGAUGAAAUACUUUUGUAUGUAAACUCCUGUGAGAAGGGAAAAUAUGCAGAUUUUCUGCGUUGAUUGUACCUUCAGAGGAAGCCCCGGCUAACUACGUGCCAGCAGCCG